GGGCCUAUAGCUCAGCUGGUUAGAGCAUCUGACUCAUAAUCAGGGGGUCCCUGGUUCGAGCCCAGGUGGGCCCA
Molecule: transfer RNA, 74 nt
Filed under: Nitritalea halalkaliphila LW7
Lineage: Bacteria; Pseudomonadati; Bacteroidota; Cytophagia; Cytophagales; Cyclobacteriaceae
Also listed under: 1 other name
Rfam family: tRNA
About the family: Transfer RNA (tRNA) molecules are approximately 80 nucleotides in length. Their secondary structure includes four short double-helical elements and three loops (D, anti-codon, and T loops). Further hydrogen bonds mediate the characteristic L-shaped molecular structure. tRNAs have two regions of fundamental functional importance: the anti-codon, which is responsible for specific mRNA codon recognition, and the 3' end, to which the tRNAs corresponding amino acid is attached (by aminoacyl-tRNA synthetases). tRNAs cope with the degeneracy of the genetic code in two manners: having more than one tRNA (with a specific anti-codon) for a particular amino acid; and 'wobble' base-pairing, i.e. permitting non-standard base-pairing at the 3rd anti-codon position.
Source: Rfam by way of RNAcentral